This 492-nucleotide ribosomal RNA is filed under the name uncultured bacterium. Its description in RNAcentral is "partial 16S ribosomal RNA". It matches the Rfam family "Bacterial small subunit ribosomal RNA", at positions 29 to 507 of the family's 1533-position model. The record is from RNAcentral.
AGUGAACGCUGGCGGUAGGCCUAACACAUGCAAGUCGAACGGCAGCACAGUAAGAGCUUGCUCUUACGGGUGGCGAGUGGCGGACGGGUGAGGAAUACAUCGGAAUCUACUUUUUCGUGGGGGAUAACGUAGGGAAACUUACGCUAAUACCGCAUACGACCUACGGGUGAAAGCAGGGGAUCUUCGGACCUUGCGCGAUUGAAUGUGCCGAUGUCGGAUUAGCUAGUUGGCGGGGUAAAGGCCCACCAAGGCGACGAUCCGUAGCUGGUCUGAGAGGAUGAUCAGCCACACUGGAACUGAGACACGGUCCGGACUCCUACGGGAGGCAGCAGUGGGGAAUAUUGGACAAUGGGCGCAAGCCUGAUCCAGCCAUACCGCGUGGGUGAAGAAGGCCUUCGGGUUGUAAAGCCCUUUUGUUGGGAAAGAAAAGCAGCAGGUUAAUACCCCGCUGUUCUGACGGUACCCAAAGAAUAAGCACCGGCUAACUUCGUG